UGUAUCCCGUAUGUAUUUAAUAACGUUUUAUAUAAUAUAUAUAUAUAUAUAUAUAUUCCAUUUACAUACAGGAAUCAACAGUAUGGAGGCGCAUAACUGCAGGCCCCAAGAAAUUUUACAGGAUUAUAUACGCAUGGCCAAAUCACAAGUUUCACUCGAAAGAGGGAGGAACAAAUCCCAGAAGAAAUUUCGAGCCAAUGCGGACGUGCCGAGCAUCACCAGCCGUGAACAGUACCUCACACAGCCAAGGGGCCCACGACCCAGAGACUACUUCUUACGAGUCCUGCCACUUCGUCUCCACUACCACCUACCAAUUACUCUCUUGUGCAGCCAACUAAGAGGAUGCAGGUACCAAACAUUGACCAUUAAUGACAUUUUUUCCCCUGCUUUAAUUUCUUUGCGGAUUCUGAUAACCUCGUCCCUUUCUUGCCCUGCAAAGAAGGUAACGAUCAAGGACCACCAAGAUCAGAAAGGCAUUCAGAUUGAUUAGUCCUGAGUGCAUUUCAGACAAGUAGUUAGUGAGACAUGCUCAUGCACAGAAGGUGAACUUACACAGAAGAGAAGCGACAGAUACCCUGCUGAAGAACUCUUGAGCGGAAGGAGGGAGGAACAGGAUGCUGCAGCGGGCGGCGAGCAAUGCCUACUCAUGGUGGUGGGCGAGCCAUGUCCGCACCAAGCAGUCCAAAUGGCUCGACAACAACCUCAAAGGUUUGGCUUUCUUGAACACACCAUCCAAUCCAUUUACAUACAAGCUUAACACAUUAAGUCAUUAACACCUGGGUCCGAUUGCUUUGUUUUUCAUUUUAGCAAGUCAAUGCAUGCUGAUUCAUAAGCAACAUUACCUUCAUCGUAGUGUUACGAUGUGACCAAGGAGAAAAUGAUUUAUCUGAACAGUUUCAUUUCUUGGUCCGAACUUGCAUAGUUACCUGCAAAAGAGCAUCUGGUCUAUAGUAAAUACACAUAUCCUAUUCCAGAUGAUUAUGUAAUUCAUGAAUGUAUCAGCUAAGCAUAGGUAUAUAGUCGCAUGCCAAAAAGAAGUAUAACGAUGUCUGCACUCUGGGCACUCAGAGCAAGAAAUACUAUGCAUUUCAUGCUAGUUUGGUUGGUGUCAUCUUAGUAGUGAUGUAUGCUACAGUUCUUCACAGUCAGAACGUGGUACAUCAUUCUGUGCAAUAGAUAGUCACAAACUUCAAGGCAGUUAAGUCCAUAAAAAGAACUGAAACCUCUGUUACAAAUCAACUCCCUAACAUUUACAAUUGCUUUGAACUCUACAUAUUAUUUUCUACAUUGAGUAUAAUGAAACAUCCUUCAAGAUGUAUUUGUGCAAUCCUGACAAUUUGGAAAAUGAUUUUUUAGCAUUUCUUUCCAAACAGCCAGCAUCUCCUUAUGUUUGUCUAUGUGCAGAUAUGGAAGAUAGGGUCAAGUGUAUUCUCUUCCUCCUUGGGGAGGAAGCUGAUUCCUUUGCCAAGAGGGCAGAAAUGUAUUACAAGCGACGACCAGAGGUGAUCAGUUCAGUGGAAGAAGCAUACCGGGCAUACAGGGCCCUUGCUGAACGCUAUGACCAUAUGUCAGGGGAGUUACACAAAGCAAACCAUACAAUUGCAUCUACCUUCCCUGAUCAGAUUCAGUAUUCAUUGCUAGAAGAGGAUGAUGACAAUCUCCCAAAAGCUUAUACCAAGGUCGAUCCUCGCAAAAUUCACAAGUCAACAGUGGAGGGACUAAUGAAGAAGAAGCAUAGAGAGAAAUCAAGACCAAAAGAUGGAGGAAAGAAGUCUGCAGUUCCAAUGAACAAGGAUAAUGCACAAGCUGAGAUCAGCAGGCUACAGAAAGAGAUAUUAGUCCUGCAGACGGAGAAAGAGUUCAUCAAAAGCUCUUACGAGAGUGGAAUUGCAAAAUACUGGGAUCUUGAGAAACAAAUUAACGAAAUGCAGGAAGAAGUUUGCUACUUCCAAGACGAGUUCAAUGAAAGUGCAGUGAUAGAGGAUGAUGAGGCCAGGGCUUUGAUGACAGCAACUGCUCUUAAAUCUUGUGAAGACGCCAUUAUCAAAAUGCAGGAGCAACAGAAGUCAUUUUUCAGCCAAGCAAUGAUUGAGUCCGCAAGAGUUAAGGUUUCUAGGGAGAAGCUGAAGGGUAUCAUGAGAGUACAUGGUAAAUCUCUAUCAUAUUCAGGAAAUUCUGCAGAUGAGAAUGUUAAAACCGAUGCCGGUGCUAGGAGAGAUGAAUUGUUCUCCAUGAAGCAGGAGAAAUUUGAACUGCAAGAACUAGUAGAAAAGAUCAAGGGAUACUUUGAGAUGGACUCUGAUCUUUCUGUGGUAGAGAUUGCAGAGAAAAUUGAUGAACUAGUUAACAAAGUUGUUGAUUUGGAGCUCAUGAUUUCAACACAGACUGCACAGAUAAAUAGGCUGUGUCUAGAAAACAAUGAGCUGGAGAAGUCAUUGCAGAAAUUGGAGGAAGAGGAGACAGAACAAAAUGACUCAGUGAAUUAAAUGAGAGGCUCAAGGAGGCAGAAAAGGAGCUUAUUAGAGUGCAUAACCUUGAGAGAUCCUACCAUGCAGAAGAAAGAAUAGUCUGUGCAAAUUUCACCGAAACAAUAAAUAGUUUCUGUGACAUUUCACAUAUGCUGCAAUCACCUCUCAUUGAGCACCCAGUUGUUUCAAGAUGCAUGCUGACUGAUGAAGCAACACCAUCCACUGACACUGAACAAUCAGGUGAGCAUAGCAAAACAAGCCCAUUAGAAGAUCCUGAGAUGGAUGAAGCUGCAAGGAAGCCACAAGUAGAUGGAUUUCUUGAUCAUCCAGAUACACCAGAGCCAGCUAUCUUCAGCGAUGACAGUAAGUCAUCUAGUGGCUACCAUGAGAGUAAAGCAGAAAAGCAUUGUCACGUAGAUAAAAUACAGGACUUAAGCUGUUGUGAGUUUGAAGAUAAGUUAAUUGAAGCCGCAUCAGUACCAGUGGAUGUGGGAACAACAGAAACUGCAGAUCAGACUUCAUCUGAUGAUAAUAACAAUGGAGAAUCAGAUCAUGUUCUCGAAAUCACUAGUAACACUGGAAGCAGUGUGCAACAAGAUAUUGUGCACUGCCAUGAGAGCGAUUCAUUAGAAGACGUGCAUCAGAUUUCCUCCAAUAGUCAAGGAGAAAAUUUGAAACAAGAGGACAAUAUGAUAUAUAACUCAACACCAUGUAACAGCAUCUUUGAAGGCAGCUCAGAACAGAAGAUAGAGAUGAACAAAGAAGAAGCUUCAUAUAUCAUCAAAAAUCCAAUUCCUACAAAUGGGAAAGUUGCUGGUGUUGGAGAUCAAGAGGAUAGCAUGAUUAAUCUACAGCAGUUGCUUAUGAAUGGACUCCAAGAUAAGGAAAAGGUACUAUUGGCCGAAUACACUUCCAUCCUCCGAAACUAUAAGAAUGCAAAGCGAAAGCUUACAGAAGCAGAGACAAUGAACCAGGAAUGCUUGAAUGAGAUGAGAGCCACGAUAAGUGAACUAGAGUGUGCCAAUGGAAUGAAGGAUGCAGAGAUUCGGUCACUCCAUGAGCUCUUGAAAUCUUUAACUUACAAAGAUGCAUUGCAAAGUGGUCAUCAAUUGAAUUCAACCAUGUCCCUAAGUGAGAAGAAUGGAAUGAUUAGGGGUCACCGAAGGACUCCAAGUUUUUUGUCAGUUCAUCAGAGGGCACAAAGUGUUUCCUCUAUUCCCAGUAGAAUAAUAAAUAGUUCUAGCCUGAAAAAUAAACCAAGUAUUGAUGCAUCACAUGAUGCUGUUACAAAUCAGAAAAGCAUUAUUCAGGAGGAGCCCACAUCAACAAAUGUAGUUGAGAUGGAUAAAGCAUCACCUCUUGAAAAAAAGUUCAGAAGAGACAUUGAUACGCUUCUGGAGGAGAACCUAGCAUUCUUGAUGAAGUUCAGCAUGUUAUUCCAACAGAUACAAGGAUUUCAGACCAAGUAUGAUCAACUACAAGCUGAGAUUAGUAAGCUAAAGCCAAACAAGGAUCAUACCAAUGAUCAACCUGCAAAAUUGGAAAUGGAAGCAACAGAAAAGAGGCUAAGAGAACUCAAGAUUGAACUGCAAGUAUGGUUGGAACAGAAUGCAAUGUUCAAAGGGGAACUCCAGUGUAAGUUUGAUUCCCUAUGCAGCAUACAAGCGGAGAUUGAAGGAACCAUGGAGAUGGAUGCAGACACCGUGGACAGAGCUAGAUUCACUUCAUAUCAUGUUGCAAAAUUUCAGGGGGAGAUUUUGAACAUGAAGCAGGAGAACAACAAAGUUGCUGAUGAACUGCAGGCUGGUUUGGAUCAUGUGAAAGGGCUACAAAAAGAAAUUGAAAAGGAUUUGGCAAAGAUACUGAGCACCAGCUUAUCUGGGCCCAAAUCUAGCACCACCUGGAGGAAUGCACCCUCUAAAUCAAGAGUACCGCUCCGGAUGUUCCUCUUUCCAGCCAAGAAAAAGAAACCAUCGCUGUUUGCAUGUGUAAAUCCAACGCUUCUUUCAAAGCAGAAUAGCGACAUGGCAUUCUUCACUAAAAUGAGCUAGGUAUGUAUGCCAAUUUGUCCAAAUGCCUCAAAUUUCACCUAUAUUAGUAUGUGAUUUGGCUUAACAUAUUAUUGUUAUGAUCAGGUCUUCCAGAUGGAACGAAAGUCAUCAUCAAGCCAGCAAAGUAGCAAGCAGAACUUUAAAUUAGUAAUAUUAGGUUUUGUCCUGAUGCCAGAAUGCUAUGUUCGGCUUAUGUUAAGGUUCUUGCAAUGCACUCACUGGGAUCAAUUAGCGUUUGCUAACCAGUUGAGUCUAUUCAAGGGGGAUAUGAAUACUCUGUACCUUUUGACAUCUAUAGCUUGUGAAAUAAUUUAGAAAAUAGAAAAAUUUAAUUUCCAUAGCAGUAAUGUGCGCUGAACUAAAUUUAAUUGGCAGUGUAUCGCAUGACAAAUUUCACUUGUGUCAUUCAUUAAGGGUCAAAAUACGUGCACUGUGGCAGCAGGUGGUAAAUGGUAAGUACCUUGUAAUUUGAGGCCGCGAACGGUUGAUCACAGAAUUGGGUGAGGGGCGAAUGGAAGUACUUCACACUGAACAACACAGCCGAAUUCAGGCUUAUUGCAUGGCACAAGCAGACUCAGCAAAGUACAAGAAGACAGAAGAGAAGACAACAAGCUCAGUCAUACAAAAUGGUGCAAGCAACACGGAGGUUUUGAAGCUGGUAGGAAAGCACGCACCAGAGCGAAAGACCCUGAAGGCUGUGUCAAAUUGGCGCCGCAUUCCAUCGAACAGGUCCCUGGCACCUCGGCCUCAAGCGCGCCGUGGCUAAGCGAGAUCCAGGGGAAUAGUGGAUCGCCUGCCCAGGCCAGAGGCAGCCCCUGCAACAUUCCCAAUUUGAGUGCUCGCCGUCUUCUCGCUCAGUUGGAACCGCUAGUGUGGUUGACGUGGCGGGAUGGCUAACGGCGGACGGCGGUGGGGGAGACAGAAAAGCCAGGCCAUCAGCACAUACAGGCGGGCUAACAUGCCAGAUCAUCCUUCACCGCGCGAGGCCAGGUAUGAACGGCUGAUCGACGAGCGCGCCGGCCGCCGGGAGGCGGAGGACGGGCGGCGGCGAACGGAGGAGCGAGAGAGGCCAGCCAUCUGCCCGGAUACAUGAGGACUAAUAUGUAAAAAACCGGACCCAACCAGGGGGUAAUGUGAAAACU
Molecule: long non-coding RNA, 5661 nt
Filed under: Setaria italica (foxtail millet)
Lineage: Eukaryota; Viridiplantae; Streptophyta; Magnoliopsida; Poales; Poaceae
Description: long non-coding RNA (SITA_LNC001805)
Source: RNAcentral